Molecule: long non-coding RNA, 103 nt
Organism: Herpailurus yagouaroundi (jaguarundi)
Lineage: Eukaryota; Metazoa; Chordata; Mammalia; Carnivora; Felidae
Exons: 3
Source: RefSeq, a predicted model, not a curated record
GCCUAUUUCUGCUACCAUGUAAUAUAAUUCUCCAUCGUGAAUAUUGUGAUAAAGCUAAUGAAAACUCUAUGCCAUCACGUACUCUAUCUAGAUCGGUAGAGCA